UAGGGAAUCUUCCACAAUGGACGCAAGUCUGAUGGAGCAACGCCGCGUGAGUGAAGAAGGUUUUCGGACCGUAAAGCUCUGUUGUUGGUGAAGAAGGAUAGAGGUAGUAACUGGCCUUUAUUUGACGGUAAUCAACCAGAAAGUCACGGCUAACUACGUGCCAGCAGCCGCGGUAAUACGUAGGUGGCAAGCGUUGUCCGGAUUUAUUGGGCGUAAAGCGAGCGCAGGCGGAAGAAUAAGUCUGAUGUGAAAGCCCUCGGCUUAACCGAGGAAUUGCAUCGGAAACUGUUUUCUUGAGUGCAGAAGAGGAGAGUAGAACUCCAUGUGUAGCGGUGGAAUGCGUAGAUAUAUGGAAGAAUACCAGUGGCGAAGGCGGCUCUCUGGUCUGCAACUGACGCUGAGGCUCGAAAGCAUGGGUAGCGAACAGGAUUAGAUACCCUGGUAGUCCAUGCCGUAAACGAUGAGUGCUAAGUGUUGGGAGGCUUCCGCCUCUAGUGCUGCAGCUAACGCAUUAAGCACUCCGCCUGGGGGAGUA
Molecule: ribosomal RNA, 535 nt
Filed under: uncultured bacterium
Lineage: Bacteria
Description: partial 16S ribosomal RNA
Rfam family: Bacterial small subunit ribosomal RNA
Source: RNAcentral